AUUGCAACCUCGUACCCAGGGCUUCUGCGCUUAUUGAGAGCAAUAAGCGCAGAAGCCCUGGGUACGAGGUUGCUGUUAU
Molecule: non-coding RNA, 79 nt
Organism: Paramuricea clavata
Lineage: Eukaryota; Metazoa; Cnidaria; Anthozoa; Malacalcyonacea; Plexauridae
Source: the annotation of a GenBank genome assembly